This is a long non-coding RNA of Passer domesticus (house sparrow), 352 nucleotides long. RefSeq lists it as uncharacterized. NCBI's taxonomy places the organism in Eukaryota, Metazoa, Chordata, Aves, Passeriformes, Passeridae. The transcript is spliced from 3 exons. The record is from RefSeq and is a predicted model, not a curated record.
CCCCCCCAUAGGCAAGGCAGUAAGUCCCUCUCUUGGCAGUGCUGUGGGCUCUCUUCAAAGCUCUCUGCAGCUGGAAUUCCAGGAGUCCCAGGAGAUGAGGUCAGGAUGCAGCAGCAGAAGCAAGGAGGAGAACUUUGAACAUGCAGGCGUGACUAGGUUCAUUUUCUCCAAGUCUUUCCGGCCAUGUCCCUCUUCACUCCUUCCCUCAAAGCCAUUGCCUCCCAUCAGGAUCAGCUCUCCUUCUUCUAACAAUAAUAAAAUGUACAGCAUGGAGAAAGAGAAAAAGGACAUUGGCACUGGCUAUGAUAAUGACAGUAGAAAACACCAGGAGCAGAGUUCAGAAGAAAAAUGU